AGACCCAACAAAAAUUAUAGAGAGAGAGAGAAAGAGAAAGUUCUAGAGAACACCAAGGAAGAGAAGAAGGAGAGAGCUUGAAGAAGAAGGAGGAAGAGGAAAGCUUUGACCUCCAUUAAUCAUCCAUCUAAAGUCGUGAGUCGAGGACGGCACAACUGUUUCUGGAAGCCACUCCUAUGUUCAUGUGGCCCUUGCUCGGGAGUAACAAUACCGUAGCUUAUGUUCAUGUGGCCCUCGCCUAGAAAUACCAUGGCUAUAUGUGCACAGAAAUCUCUAACAUGGAUGUACUGGAACCACCGUACUGUUAUGCUAAGGGAGGUACUGACAUAACUGUUUAUAAGUACGGACAUGACUAUCCACAAGUAACGGUGAGCAUCUGGAGGGCAGGUCUAGAAGAGGUCUUUAGCCGAGCUACCGUUUUGAAGCCUACCAAGUUGUUUUGAGUGCCUCCGAGUUGGGGCUAGGCCUGGAAGUACGUUGUCAAACUUUUGACCUUGAUGUACACUUUUGAUGCGUGUAAAUGAUAUGUAUCGAUAUGUGGUUAAAUUAACGUUUAUAUGUGUAUGUGUAACAACCCCAUCAUGUAUUAUGAUUAGUACUUAAUUAAUUAAAAAGAUUUGAAUUUUAAUUGCCAAUUAUUCU
Molecule: long non-coding RNA, 642 nt
Organism: Camellia sinensis
Lineage: Eukaryota; Viridiplantae; Streptophyta; Magnoliopsida; Ericales; Theaceae
Source: RefSeq, a predicted model, not a curated record